Molecule: long non-coding RNA, 1743 nt
Organism: Triticum aestivum (bread wheat)
Lineage: Eukaryota; Viridiplantae; Streptophyta; Magnoliopsida; Poales; Poaceae
Exons: 4
Source: RefSeq, a predicted model, not a curated record
GUUGCAGGGGGUGGACAUGUUUGGGCAGCGCGUGGGGUUCCUCAAGUUCAAAGCCGACAUCGUCGACGAGGAAACCAAAGCCAAGAUUCCAGGGAUUGUCUUUGCAAGAGGGCCUGCUGUUGCUGUGUUGAUUCUUUUGGAGUCCAAAGGGCAAACUUAUGUUGUUCUCACUGAACAGGUAUAUAUAUUACUGUGAUUUGCAGUGAAUUGUUGCAUAUGCGAAUAGUAAUAUUGUGUAGCUUGAUUAUUUGUAUUCAACUAUGCGAUGCAUGAGGAUAAACGGGUUGUUGCCCACAGCACGCUGCGGCGACGUCUUCUUCUCCUCUCUUCGCGGGUGCUCGCCGGUCCACGCUGCCACCCAUCAAUGUUGACAAGUCACCAUCUAAAAGGUUGUCAGAGGAGAAACUGCUGGUUUCGAACGCUAGCAAGCUCCUGGCAUGGACAAGACAGAAGUGGGAAGGCUAUUGCUGCUCCAUGCUCCCGGCUUGACUUAAAUAUAUGGACCUGAUUAUCUUGUUUCUGUGCCGAUUUACUUGUUUCUGUCUUACUUUGCCUAGUGUUCGAACCAGUUGGUCUGUUAGAUUUUGAAUGGCAAGUCAAUAGACUCCGUUGCUCCAUCUGUACAUCAUUCUAUUUGUGUUCGUUGUAGUGGUAAUUAUGGCUUUAAUAGUUAUUGAAGAUUGCACCUGUAAAUCUAGAUCUACUUGGAUCCUGGUGGCUUCUUUUGCCAAGCAAUAUCAUGUGCUUAUUAGUUGCAAGCUGUAUUGGUUUGCUCUGCUGCCAUGUUAAUUUUGCAACAUAUUUGGUUUUGUCUGAUUAAAAAAUUGGUCAUGCUCACGAGCAGUAUAUAUGCACUUGGUUGGUUCGUUGUUGGCAGUUUAGCUACACAAACUGACUGACAUUGCACAAUAAAAUGUAGCAGAUUUGCUAGCAAUCCUUCUUUCUCUCGUAUAGAAGUACAUGCUAUCUAACGUGAGCAAAAUCAUUGCGUAACUACAGGUACAUCAUAUGACUAAUUUACACAGAAUACUGAUACUCGACCCCAUGCAUUCAGUUUCAGAACUUGAAACUAAUUAACCUGUGGAAACUAACCUGACUAGUAGCUUCUCUGGCUUCCAGUUUACAACUUCUAGGAUAUCAAUCAUUCAUUCUCAAGUUGCUGCUGGCAGCUACAAGUCUCCUUUUUCUGGAAUUUUCAUGUUCUUUUUUUGUGUGUAUAUGCCUUCCUCUUUGAUUUCGAGCUUGUGAUUGAGGUCAAUUGAUGGUGGUGGUUGUCCGAUGCAGAUGUUCGGGAUGGUGGAGAAGGAGAUGGAGUACCGGGUCGAGCUUUUCAGCCGGUGAGUGAUGAGCCUUCUAGCUGCUGUACUACCACCAGUCCACCACCUGGGUGGGGCUUGUGAGAUCAGAUCGCUUGUGAGAUCAGAUCGCUGGUUGAUGCAAUGAAUUGUGGUUAUUGCAGGCAAAUUUGGGGCUGAGGAAAGAAGACGAGGAGCAACUUCUCUCUGGUCUGGUCGUUGGAACUUCAGGACAAGGUGAAGGUUUUCAAAUGUUGAAGGAGGAGGACAAUAGGAACUUCUGUGAUGUCUUGUCAUCUAUUUUCUUUUCUUUGUUGUAGAAUAGUUCUGUUUGGCACUUACUGGUUGGAUGUAAAGAUAUGUACUGCUAGAAUGAAUGCAUGUAAAGAUAUUUUGGGCUCCUAUAAUAUUUCAUGUUGCUUUGAAAAUGUAUCGGAACUGGGCUAGG